UAACAAGGAUUCCCCUAGUAACUGCGAGUGAAGCGGGAAGAGCUCAAAUUUAAAAUCUGGCGGCCUUGCCGUCCGAGUUGUAAUUUAGAGAAGUGUUUUCUGUGCCGGACCGUGUACAAGUCUCCUGGAACGGAGCGUCAUAGAGGGUGAGAAUCCCGUCUUUGACACGGACCCCCCGGUGCUCUGUGAUACGCUCUCGAAGAGUCGAGUUGUUUGGGAAUGCAGCUCAAAAUGGGUGGUGAACUCCAUCUAAAGCUAAAUAUUGGCGAGAGACCGAUAGCGAACAAGUACCGUGAGGGAAAGAUGAAAAGCACUUUGGAAAGAGAGUGAAACAGUACGUGAAAUUGCUGAAAGGGAAACGCUUGAAGUCAGUCGCGUCCGCCGGAAUUCAGCCCUCGUGGUGUACUUUCCGACGGACGGGCCAGCAUCACUUUUGACCGCCGGAAAAGGGCGGAGGGAAUGUGGCACCUCCGGGUGUGUUAUAGCCCUCUGUCGUAUACGGUGAUUGGGAGUGAGGACCGCCUAUCUUUGUAGGAUGCUGGCGUAAUGGCUUUAAACGACCCGUCUUGAAACACGGACCAAGGAGUCUAACAUGCCCGCGAGUGUUCGGGUGGAAAACCGGUGCGCGUAAUGAAAGUGAAAGUUGGGAAGGCUGUCGUGGCCUGCACCGACGCCCGGACUUGAGAUUUAUCGACGGUUCUGCGGUAGAGCGUGUAUGUUGGGACCCGAAAGAUGGUGAACUAUGCCUGAAUAGGGUGAAGCCAGAGGAAACUCUGGUGGAGGCUCGUAGCGAUUCUGACGUGCAAAUCGAUCGUCGAAUUUGGG
This 825-nucleotide ribosomal RNA is filed under the name Dichostereum durum. RNAcentral describes it as "eukaryotic LSU rRNA". It matches the Rfam family "Eukaryotic large subunit ribosomal RNA", at positions 66 to 915 of the family's 3401-position model. The record is from RNAcentral. Lineage: Eukaryota; Fungi; Basidiomycota; Agaricomycetes; Russulales; Lachnocladiaceae.